AAAAGUUGGCGGAGAGAGGAAAGUCCGGGCUCCAAAGGACACCGUGGUGGGUAACGCCCAUCGCAUUACCAUAUGGUGCCAUGCACCAUAUGGUACGCAGGAACAGUGCCACAGAGACGAGUCUUCGUUUGCUUUCGGGCAGACGAAGGGUGAAACGCGGCAAACUCCACGGGGAGCAAGGUCAAAUAGGUUCUGCUUAUGAGCUGGUCCGGCCAAUUCUUUCAUGUCGCUUAAGCCAUGAAAGGUGGCAGAACGGGUAGACUGCUUGAGCCAUCUGGUAACAGAUGGCCUAGAGGAAUGAUCAUCAUCCGCCGCGGCAACGCGUCGGUUACAAAACCCGGCUUACAGAUCCCGCAUUUUUGA
RNAcentral lists this RNase P RNA (363 nucleotides) under Deltaproteobacteria bacterium RIFCSPLOWO2_02_FULL_46_8. Its description in RNAcentral is "RNase P RNA component class A". It matches the Rfam family "Bacterial RNase P class A". Rfam says of the family: Ribonuclease P (RNase P) is a ubiquitous endoribonuclease, found in archaea, bacteria and eukarya as well as chloroplasts and mitochondria. Its best characterised activity is the generation of mature 5'-ends of tRNAs by cleaving the 5'-leader elements of precursor-tRNAs. Lineage: Bacteria; Deltaproteobacteria. The record is from RNAcentral.